AUUGAACGCUGGCGGCAUGCCUUACACAUGCAAGUCGAGCGGCAGCGCGGGGGCAACCCUGGCGGCGAGCGGCGGACGGGUGAGUAAUACAUCGGAACGUGUCCUGUCGUGGGGGAUAACCAGUCGAAAGACUGGCUAAUACCGCAUGAGAUCGAAAGAUGAAAGCGGGGGACCGCAAGGCCUCGCGCGAUUGGAGCGGCCGAUGCCGGAUUAGCUAGNGGCGGGGUAAAGCCCACCAAGGCUACGAUCCGUAGCUGGUUUGAGAGAACGACCAGCCACACUGGGACUGAGACACGGCCCAGACUCCUACGGGAGGCAGCAGUGGGGAAUUUUGGACAAUGGGCGCAAGCCUGAUCCAGCCAUGCCGCGUGUGUGAAGAAGGCC
This 384-nucleotide ribosomal RNA is filed under the name uncultured bacterium. Its description in RNAcentral is "bacterial SSU rRNA". It matches the Rfam family "Bacterial small subunit ribosomal RNA", at positions 29 to 416 of the family's 1533-position model. The record is from RNAcentral.